This 144-nucleotide ribosomal RNA is filed under the name uncultured eukaryote. RNAcentral's name for it is "partial small subunit ribosomal RNA". It matches the Rfam family "Eukaryotic small subunit ribosomal RNA", at positions 1297 to 1460 of the family's 1831-position model. The record is from RNAcentral.
GUUGGUGGAGUGAUUUGUCUGGUUAAUUCCGUUAACGAACGAGACCUCAGCCUGCUAAAUAGUUCGACAAACUUUUUGUUUGCAUCGAAGCUUCUUAGAGGGACUGUCUGCUUCCAGCAGAAUGAGGUUUGAGGCAAUAACAGG